This 377-nucleotide ribosomal RNA is filed under the name uncultured bacterium. RNAcentral describes it as "bacterial SSU rRNA". It matches the Rfam family "Bacterial small subunit ribosomal RNA", at positions 29 to 423 of the family's 1533-position model. The record is from RNAcentral.
AAUGAACGUUGGCGGCGUGGAUUAGGCAUGCAAGUCGAGCGAGAACCCAGCAAUGGGGGACAGCGGCGAAAGGGACAGUAAUGUGUAGAUUAUCUGCCCUCGGGUCCGGGAUAGCUGCGGGAAACUGCAGGUAAUACCGGAUAACAUCUCCGGAUCAAAGGUGUGAUUCCGCCCGAGGAUGAGUCUGCAUCCUAUUAGCUUGUUGGUGGGGUAAUGGCCUACCAAGGCUUUGAUGGGUAGCGGGUGUGAGAGCACGACCCGCGUCAUUGGGACUGAGACACUGCCCAGACACCUACGGGUGGCUGCAGUCGAGAAUCUUCGGCAAUGGGCGCAAGCCUGACCGAGCGACGCCGCGUGUGGGAUGAAGGCCUUCGGUU